GUUUUCAUAAGAAAAAACGGAGAAGCAUAUUUUGAUUUGAUUUUAGUUUAGUUGUUGAUUUUCUUAAGCAUUUAGUUAUUGAUGUUAUUGGCUGUUCAUUGAGAAUUUUUAUUUUGAUACGAUUUAAUUGCUUUGUAAAUCAGGCUUUACCAUCUUCCGCAAUUUUCCAUGUUGAAAUGGCUAUUUUUGUGUUUAAUGUAGGGUUUAGAAAGAAUGCAAAGAGUUGGAGAAUGAUUUCUAAGUUAGUACUGAUUAUAAUUUGUUUUAUUGAUUUGCUGAUUAUUAUUUUAAUCGUGCAACUGAUAUUAGGUUAAUGCGAUUAAGGUUUUCUCCCGUAAACACAUCACAAUGUCAAAGGUGGGUAUUUUUUAUUCUUUCAAGCUGGAGUUUUUGCUGCAAAUUCUGUUUUGUGAUAUGUAGAUGUAAUCUUAGGUUUUGAUUUUGUGGUGGAGAAGGAUAAUCCUUUGCAGUGUCAUAUCAUGGGUAAACAAUUUUUUUUGCCUUCUAUGAAAUCCUGUUUCAUAUUAAAUCAUUUUUGACUUUUUUUAUGGGGUUAAUAAAAUUUCAGUUUUAAAUUUUGGUUUGGUUUGUGUUUUUUAAACUUUAGUUUGAUCCGAAAGUGGAUCAGGGAUAAUUUUUGUUCUUGACAGCAGAAAAUGACAAUUGAAUAGUGCAAUGGGCUUCAGUUGAGGUAUUCUAUUGUGCACUUAAUCAUAGGUACCAUGGUCCAAUGAAAUACCAGACUUACUUUAGAAAAGAACCAGGCUUGCCAGGAAGUCAGGCUUUCUAUUUUGCUCCAUAAGGCAUUUCAUAUGCAAUUAAGAUCUGUUAGACUUCGUCACAGUUUACUGAAAUGGGGCUACUAAAGUUUUGAUCUGGAUUAGAGACGACAAGGGAAUAACUGUGUCAUUGUGUUUGCAGUUGUUGAUUGAAUUGGUAAAGCCAUGGAUAUGAAAGUUAAGAUGAAUUUUGCCAUCGACAAUGUGAAAACGUGUGUGUAAAUGGUUGAAUGUGGAAAUCAUUGCAGGGAAGGAGAAGUUCAGUAUUGGAGUGUAAUAUGCUCUAAUUUCUUGUUUCCUUCGCGGCCAAGCAAGUUUUUAUACUAGAAUAAUGACAUUACUUUCAUAUCUCACAUAAUUUUCUUAAAACAGAAUAUGGUGGGUACAAAUUGUAGCAGCGGUGGAGAAGUUCUGCCAGCAAUCAUAAACAGAAACAACUGUAUACUUUUUGGAGAAAAUGUAUGUUGAUAUUCAAGUACGUUACACACUAUCUAUUAAAUUGGGUUUCUUUUGUGCAGGUGUUAAUGUAUUGAAGAUGUUGCAGGGUGCUUAUUCAACCUAUAGGUCUUAUACAAUUUUAUCAUUUCCAGUAUGAAUUAGAUUUUUUGUUGCUAAGAACGCGUAUGAUGUUUAUGAUUUUUUUUUGAGUUUAAAUCGCUACAAGGUUGUUGUAAUCCUAAAACCCACCUCUUACGUAUAUAAUUAUAAUGUUUUGGUUCUGCUAUUUAAAAGUUGAAUCCUCUUUUCUUCUUUGCUUUGUUUUCAGGUCCAAAAGCUGCACUAGAGUCGCAGAAUCUUCAAGGUGUUAGGGUGGGAGAUUACAAGUUCGUAUAAAAAGUCAUCAGAAGUACAUUAACCUGAUGCAUAUUUGGUACUGAAAUCUGGAUGGUGGGUGUGGUGAAUGAUGCUGGUGUUGGGUGGUGCUGGUGAUGUUGGUGGAACUAUUCUGAAACACCUUAUUUUUGUGAUAAUGAAAUGAAAAUUCUGCUUGGAUAUUUGGUAUUACAGAAUACUUGGACAACAGACUAAUAUGUACUCUCUGGGUAUCAUGCGUUUACUAAUAAUAACAGUGAACCACCUAUGUUUUAACUAAUUGUGUAGAUCGGGCAAUAGAAAGGGCACACGGUUGAGAGAUGUUGACGCUUACAUGUCUAUUUAGCCUAGCAAUUGAAGUGGUGAUUGCCAAGCUUGCAUGUAUGCCGAGUAUAAGAGACAAAAUAGUCCAGAAUUCCGGAAGAUUGUCUAACCUGAGCUCAAUAAAUUGGGAGCACUUGGUGAAAAUAACAUGGACCACAUAAUGAUUGUUGGAACUGGAGGAAGAGACUCGUUAUCUUGCCACAACAAGUUUUCUCCAUUCGCAAGGUAACUCCUUUUCCGAUGACUUUUUAUACGGAAUUGACACUAUAUUGUUUUCUUAUGUCCAUUUUCUUCAUUAUUUACUGGCCGCGAAUAUUUUCAAGCUCUGAUUUUUAGCAAGGGCGUUUGUUGGAGCGGAAAGUGACACAUACAAUACUCAUACUCAAACAGAUGAAGCACUCAAACAACAGAAUGAGUCUUCCGAACCUGCUGCUCUGGUGGUUACAGACAUUCAUGGUAAUGGUCAUUACUGUGCCUAAUCAACCGACUUUGAUGAAAUAAUCAGUUAUGCCAGACAUUUUCAUGCUGAUUUCACUUCAUGUUGAAAAUGCGGGUGUUCAAACUGUUGACAAGGAGGUGAACAAGGCAGAUACAAUUUCAAUCAUGAAAAUGAUAAGUGUUCUUACGGGACAAGGAGUUGGGCAGAAUGGGCCAGUACAUGCAUUGCAAAAAGGACACGAAAAGUCUGCUUUGGAGUCCAGCGUGUAACACAGAUUGCAUGACAGAGCCAAGCAUUAUAAGGGAGGAUGGGGGUCGUGGUUUUAUACGAAUAGUUGAGUAUGAAGAUGAAUUUGGUAAUUCAUCUAAAGGGUGAAAACUAUGUAAGCAGUGAGACUCCUAUGCAGUGGUAAGAACCAUUAUGAUCUACUCCGAGAGAGUUUAUUAGAUGUAUUCAGGAAAUAGUGUACUCCUUGAAUUGUUCUCUGCAGGAAAUUGCUUGAGAUGUACUAUUUGAAUUUCUAUAUGCGGGAAAUUGCUUGAGAUGUUUGCUUCAUCCAGGGGAUGAUAGUUCGCGAUGAAUUGACUGCGUGAGAGAAACAAAUGGAUGUACCCGUGAUUGUCUUGGGGUACUAGAAUGUUAGUUUGGCUAGUCGUGAAAAGCAAGUCUUGAUAUACAACGGACAGAGCACGAUCAUCAUGAGGACAACGAGAGAGGAAGGAGAAACUGUAAUAUAUUUCGGUUUAUAUAUACUGGAGAAUUUCGACAAAGGGAGAUAUUUAGUUUACCAUGUGGAUUAAUACUGCAUUAAGGGCUUGGUAUGGUAUUAAUCCGUACAAGAAAGGUAUGUUUAGUGUAAUUAUUAAGAUCUUAGACUACCAAAAAAUUAAAUGGAAAUUUGUAGUUGAAUGUUGUAAUUCGAUUGAAAAUUGGAUUUAAAUGUAAACCUCAAUAUUGUAAAUUAA
Molecule: long non-coding RNA, 3320 nt
Organism: Papaver somniferum (opium poppy)
Lineage: Eukaryota; Viridiplantae; Streptophyta; Magnoliopsida; Ranunculales; Papaveraceae
Exons: 5
Source: RefSeq, a predicted model, not a curated record